GGAUGAGUUGCGAACGGGUGAGUAACGCGUAGGUAACCUGCCUUGUAGCGGGGGAUAACUAUUGGAAACGAUAGCUAAUACCGCAUAACAAUGGAUGACCCAUGUCAUUUAUUUGAAAGGGGCAAAUGCUCCACUACAAGAUGGACCUGCGUUGUAUUAGCUAGUAGGUGAGGUAACGGCUCACCUAGGCGACGAUACAUAGCCGACCUGAGAGGGUGAUCGGCCACACUGGGACUGCUACACGGCCCAGACUCCUACGGGAGGCAGCAGUAGGGAAUCUUCGGCAAUGGGGGCAACCCUGACCGAGCAACGCCGCGUGAGUGAAGAAGCUUUUCGGAUCGUAAAGCUCUGUUGUAAGUCAAGAACGAGUGUGAGAGUGGAAAGUUCACACUGUGACGGUAGCUUACCAGAAAGGGACGGCUAACUACGUGCCAGCAGCCGCGGUAAUACGUAGGUCCCGAGCGUUGCUCCGGAUUUAUUGGGCG
RNAcentral lists this ribosomal RNA (485 nucleotides) under uncultured Bacilli bacterium. RNAcentral describes it as "bacterial SSU rRNA". It matches the Rfam family "Bacterial small subunit ribosomal RNA", at positions 89 to 560 of the family's 1533-position model. Lineage: Bacteria; Bacillati; Bacillota; Bacilli. The record is from RNAcentral.